This is an RNA transcript of Amyelois transitella, 1781 nucleotides long. It is a transcript of the gene named receptor expression-enhancing protein 5, with no coding region annotated. The record is from RefSeq and is a predicted model, not a curated record. The transcript has 6 exons. NCBI's taxonomy places the organism in Eukaryota, Metazoa, Arthropoda, Insecta, Lepidoptera, Pyralidae.
AGCCAUAUUGACUGUCAGUGUCUUUGUCAACGAGUCGUGGCCGAGGAGUGACUGUUCAAGUGCCAAUUACAAUUCCGAAAAACUCCUCUCAUCCACCUCAAAAAAAUGGGUUCCAAAAUUCAAGAGUACAAGGACACAUUGGAGCGCACUCUCAAUGACAAAAGCAAGCCAUGGGUUAAGUAUUUGGACUUGGCCGAACAGAAAUCCGGCGUGAACAGAGUUUACCUUUUCGUUGGUCUUGUGGCGUUCACCGGUUUAUAUUUAGUAUUUGGUUUCGGCGCGGAGUUGAUAUGCAACUCAAUUGGAUUUCUUUAUCCUGCGUACAUGUCGAUGAGGGCAUUGGAAUCGCCACAAAAGGAUGACGACACCAAAUGGCUGACUUAUUGGGUGGUGUUCUCGUGCUUCAACCUCGUGGAGUACUUCGCCGACUUCAUCGUCGGCUGGUUCCCUCUGUACUGGCUCAUGAAGUGCAUCUUCGUCAUAUGGUGUUUCCUGCCGACUGAUUUCAACGGCUCCCUCAUCAUUUACCACCGCAUCAUCCGUCCCUACUACUUGAAACACCACGACCGCAUCGACCAAAUCGCUUCCUCUGAGCUGAAAGACAUUAUAAAUAUGGCCAACAAGAAUAUAGAUAAGACAAUGAAGUCUUUCGCCGAUACUAUGAAGGAGUUGCACAAAGAUUAAGUACAGUAAAGGUAAAGCUGAUUAGUGCAAAAACGUACAAACUCGUUGUGCCCACCGCUUGGUAGCAGAUGCGGUUAGGAAGAACAACUAACUGUCAAAUAUUACACAGAAGCGGAAAGUACAAAUUUUUGCACACGCUUUUGUCACCAGCUUGCAACAUGUUGACUGAAUUUUAAAAUUAAAUUACUAUCUAUUGUAUACUUACAACUUUUAAAUCAUCGAACCGUUUUGACUUACACAUUCGUGUGUUAUAAAAAUCUUGCCUUUUCAUUAUGGUCUUACUUAUAAAGGCUGUAUCAAGGCAACGCUUCGAAGAUAAUAUUUUACACAAAAUUAUAUCAGGUGCAUAAAAAAUCUUGCCAAUGCAUCGAUAUUAAAUUAAGUUUAAAUAUUGUCCUUCACAUUUUUUACACAUUUUCACAAUGCGCUUUGUGAUCAAGGCACAGUAACCGUAUUUAUUGUUUUCUAAAAUCGUGACACAAGUUUUUUACAGUUUUCUUUUAGAAUUAAAUUGAUAGUUGAAUAUUACUCGGGCCUCUUUUAGGGCUUAGAAGCUAAGUAAACCCUUAAGUUUUUUCUAUACUUUAAGAUCUCUUCGUGAAGCAAUGAAUUCUUAUUUCAAUGUCUUUCUAUAAAAAGAUAUUUCUUUUAUUCUAGAUUUGCUCAAGGAAUGUUAGUUUAUCUGUUGUUUAUUUUUUAAGGUUGAAUCAAUAGUUUUUAAUGUGAUUUGGAGAAAAUAUGUUGCCAUGUAAUAAAUUGCAGCUAUACCAAUAGUAGUUCACGAAUUUUAUACUGUUUUUGUAUACUCCCUAGUGACUCGAAAAAGCAUCAAACUUGACAUUUUUCUCAGUUAUUACCAACUGUGAAAAAGUUAAAUUUGGCGCGAUUUCAAGUUUCAAUGAGUGGAAGUGAAAAAACCCCAUAAUGUUGCCAUUUUGUAAUAUUUAGUAGUUCACAUUUGCUUGCAAGUAAAAUCUAUGUUAUGCAUAUUUUAAUGUGCCUUCUGUGGAUUGGGCUGCGUACAUUGUAAUUGUAUUUACACAAGGAAAUGUUAAUCUUGUAUUUUUUUCACGUAAUAAAAGGAAUUCAUUGUAAUA